Molecule: ribosomal RNA, 488 nt
Filed under: uncultured bacterium
Lineage: Bacteria
Description: bacterial SSU rRNA
Rfam family: Bacterial small subunit ribosomal RNA
Source: RNAcentral
GAUGAACGCUAGCGGCAGGCUUAAUACAUGCAAGUCGAGGGGCAUCAAGGUACACGAAAGUGUAUUGUUGGCGACCGGCGGACGGGUGAGUAAUAGGUAGGUAACCUACCUCAUACUGAGGCAUAGCUGGGAGAAAUUCCAGGUAAUUCCUCAUGAGGUUAUAUGACACAUGUGAUAUAAUCAAAGGUAUCGCAAGGUACUGGUAUGAGAUGGGCUUACUGACCAUUAGCUAGUUGGUGAGAUAAGAGCUCACCAAGGCGAAGAUGGUUAGGGGUUUGAGAGAGAGAUCCCCCACAUUGGAACUGAGAUACGGUCCAGACUCCUACGGGAGGCAGCAGUAGGGAAUAUUGGGCAAGUGGGCGGAAGCCUGACCCAGCCAUGCCGCGUGAAGGAAGACGGCCUUAGUGGGUUGUAAACUUUCUUUACUAUGCGACUAACUAGAUUUACGAGAUAAUUCUAUAGAAUGUAGCAUAGACAAAAGCACCGGA